UUGGAUACUAGAAAAAAUUCGA
Molecule: non-coding RNA, 22 nt
Filed under: Arabidopsis thaliana (thale cress)
Lineage: Eukaryota; Viridiplantae; Streptophyta; Magnoliopsida; Brassicales; Brassicaceae
Source: RNAcentral